UCUCCGUAGGUGAACCUGCGGAGGGAUCAUUACCGAUUGAGGGUCCUUGUGGCCCGACCGCCAACCCUUUGUGAAUCUUACUCGUUGCUUCGGGGGCGACCCUGCCGUCCGCGGCUGAGCGCCCCCGGGGUCAAUCAAACACUGCCUUCUCUGCGUCGGAGUAUUAGUAAAUCUAAUCAAAACUUUCAACAACGGAUCUCUUGGUUCUGGCAUCGAUGAAGAACGCAGC
This 229-nucleotide unclassified non-coding RNA is filed under the name uncultured fungus. RNAcentral's name for it is "sequence contains ITS1, 5.8S rRNA gene". The stretch from base 181 to 229 matches the Rfam family "5.8S ribosomal RNA", at positions 1 to 49 of the family's 154-position model. The record is from RNAcentral. Lineage: Eukaryota; Fungi.